CCUGCCCCGGGAGGCAUUUCAGGUGUGGCUGCUGUGUCACUUGUGCGUCAGUAGGUGGCAGUGAGGAAAGAUGCUAUGUCUACACUCCCUGCUCUGGCCUGUGAACAUCUGAAUGAUUAGUAGCCUAACAAG
Small nucleolar RNA from Acomys russatus (golden spiny mouse), 132 nucleotides. RefSeq annotates it as small nucleolar RNA SNORA17. The transcript has a single exon. NCBI's taxonomy places the organism in Eukaryota, Metazoa, Chordata, Mammalia, Rodentia, Muridae. The record is from RefSeq and is a predicted model, not a curated record.